RNAcentral lists this long non-coding RNA (381 nucleotides) under Vulpes vulpes (red fox). RNAcentral describes it as "lncRNA (ENSVVUG00000014977.1)". Lineage: Eukaryota; Metazoa; Chordata; Mammalia; Carnivora; Canidae. The record is from RNAcentral.
CUCUCUCUAGAGUAAGGUGCUAUAUUAAUAUAAAGAAAAAGAUCCUUACUGUCAAGCUCAGUACCUCUGGGCCUGGAGGUGUCAACUAGCUGAAAAAAAAUCCCUAGAACAAAAGUUGAUUUGAUGAUCUAUUACCAGAAGAGUCAAGCUGUUGUGACACCACAGCAAUGGAUAUCAACACCGAGUGCUGAUAGGUAAAGCCUCAAGGCAGAGAAAAUGUCAUUUGAAGCAAAUGGAAACCAUUUGAUGAUAACCCAAGAGAUCGCGAACAGCAGGCAUAUAUUGAAAAAGAAGAAUGGCUCUUGUCUUAGGGGUACUGGGAGCUCCAAGAAAUGUUCCUCAGUAGGUGGAGUGGGCGGUGUCCUUGUCAGAGGAACUUAG